GUGUCAGCAGCCGCGGUAAUACGGAGGGUGCAAGCGUUAUCCGGAAUCAUUGGGUUUAAAGGGUCCGCAGGCGGAUUUAUAAGUCAGUGGUGAAAGCCUGAUGCUUAACAUCAGAACUGCCAUUGAUACUGUAAGUCUUGAAUUCGAUCGAAGUGGGCGGAAUAUGACAUGUAGCGGUGAAAUGCUUAGAUAUGUCAUAGAACACCGAUAGCGAAGGCAGCUCACUAGGUCUGGAUUGACGCUCAGGGACGAAAGCGUGGGGAGCAAACAGGAUUAGAAACCCCCGUAGUCC
This 292-nucleotide ribosomal RNA is filed under the name uncultured bacterium. Its description in RNAcentral is "partial 16S ribosomal RNA". It matches the Rfam family "Bacterial small subunit ribosomal RNA", at positions 505 to 796 of the family's 1533-position model. The record is from RNAcentral.